Molecule: long non-coding RNA, 6646 nt
Filed under: Gallus gallus (chicken)
Lineage: Eukaryota; Metazoa; Chordata; Aves; Galliformes; Phasianidae
Source: RNAcentral
CAGACUCUGGAGAUAUGCAGGCUCCUAUCAAUCUGAUGCCAGAAUAUCAUUGUUUGAGAGCUGAAUAUGUAAAGAAGAUUAGAAGGAUGUGAAGAAAAUCCUUUUUAUAAAGAGAGGGAACGAAUUCCAUCCGUCUGCAGCUGACUGAGUUUCUCUUUCCGACUUUCAUCCAGAGGCACCUAAGACAGCCAACUUCAGAAGAGCAUACUAAGAGAUACUUCUGGCAUGCAAACAGUAGAAUGUAUGAACUUUUGGACACUCAGUUACAAGACACUGAAGAAAUGAGAUGUGGACAGUGAAGAACCACGAAGAUGGUUUGGGGACUGAAGAACAUGACACAGCAGAUGAUGCAAAGAAUUGGAUUUAUUUAGCCUGAAAAAAACAGUAAGUCAAAGAGGAGUCAAAUCACAGCCUUCUGUCUAAGGGGGAGAAUACCUAGCUAGACUCUUUUUAAAAAGUGCAAAACAAAGUGCAGACAAAGAAAGCUGUAGAAUGUCUGUUCUUGGAUAUUUUCUAAAUUCAGCUUGGUGAGGCCCUGGGAACCAGACCCAACUUUGAAGUUUAUCCCGCUUUGAACAGGAGGCUGGACCAGACAACCUCCUGAGGCCUCAUUCUCUUUCCAUUUUCCUAAGGUUCUACUCUCUUUAAAGAAACAGCAUAUGAAUCGUUGCAGAUGCCUGUUAUUUUAGCUGUAAAACGAACUUUUAAAAGCCUUUCUUACAAAGUAUAGAACUACACCAGUACAAUCUGGAGUCUUAAAAAAAAAAAAAAAAGAAAGCAAAUAUGCCUUUUUCACACACAGUGCAUACCUCGGAAAUGAGCUGAAGGACUGACUUACAGCAACUCUUUAAAUGACAAAAUUGCUGAUCAACAUCCACAAAAAUAUGCAAUUGUCUGACUAUGUGCCCGGCCAUCAGCCAGAGUAGACCAGUGACUCAUUUGCUUUGUUCUCCCAUUCUUAGAUUGUCCUUGACUACAUUUCACCGUCUCCUCUCAUUCAGUUAGUUCUCAAUGCAACUGCAAACUUUUUCACUUCCCAAGCAUACAAAGCUACCCCUUCCCUGUGCUGCUACAGACACUACACUGGCAAAUCUUAUGCUCUCCUUCAUACUCUGAACUUUGCAAAACCACUUCAGACUUAAGUCACCUCAAUUUGCAGACAGUACACCGAGCACAAAGUGCCAGAGUAGGAACAUUACUGCAAGUGCUGAAGAGGGGCAUGUAACUUCCCUAGUGACAUCAUGCAGGUUCACAGUAGGGAAGAAAACUUAAAAAAAAAAAAAAUCUGGUAAAAAUAAUGGAGAUAAUCAAACAAAUCUUAAAAUGGAGCUCAAUACAUGUACAAACAAGCUUGGUUGUGACAGCAAAGCACUGAAGUCAGGCACUCAGACUUUGCUUUCAGUCUUUUGCCAAAGGCUUUCCGAGUGGCAAACAUUCAGUUGUUAUAUUUCGCUUAACAUUUUAUCACGUAAUUCCCAAGGGAACGUUAUGAAACAUUCCUCCUCCCAGUACAGAUCUUCUAGAACUUCUCAAUGCAAGCAUAACCAUACUUUUAGGGCCCAGUGUUAGUUAGCUAUGCUAGAGCUGUAGUUAAUGUUUCCUUCAAGUAUUCAGACAGUUACAAAGCAGAGAAGGCUCCCUUGUGGUUUGACUACCAGAUCAAUUUAUCGAAAGCAGGAGAAGUGCACUUUUUGUGGGCAUACUCUCCAAUGAAAUCUCUUUGAUGAAGAUUCUUUGCUCAUGCAGUUCUAGGCAUUAUGGUAGGCAUGCUUAAAUAUCGUCAAAUGUUCCCCAUUUAUUUCAUAAUCCGAAGGAAAAUAUAAGACCUUCAAUAUCCGAAGGAAAUGAGACCUCAAAUAAAAGAAGUGCUCCAGACCACUCAGGAGCCUGGAAGCACAGAACCUUCUGAGAAUUCUUGUCUCAUGUAAAUAAUUGUGAUGAACAUGUAUAAAAUCACCCCUCAGCUAUUCAAACCAGUAACUUAAAAACAGCUCUUAAACUGAAGAUGUUAAAAACAAGUUUGAAUCACACUUUACUAUGGAUGUAUAUGCAGAUUAAGAACAAGGCUUACUGUUUCAAAUGAGGGCUUGAAGAAUCUCCACACUAUAUGGUAAGAGAUCAGCGCUCGGAAAAAUUAAAACACUUGCUCCAAAAACACUAAGCCUGGUCUCCUUAAGUAAAAAGUAAGCUUUGCCAAAUCAUUCUGCAAAAUCAGCUCAGUAUGUUCAUAUGAGCAGCAGCGAAUGUUCUCAGUGUAGAAGACAAGAGUGAGAAUACGAAUGCAUUCCUCCUGCACACCGAACUCCUAAGAAUUUCAGAAGGAGAUUCUGAAUGAAAUUCAGAUGCUCCUUUAGUGUUCCUCAAAUGUGUUCUGCUCAUCGUUUUAUAAGGGCUAUCUUUAUUUUAUUUUGACACUGGAGAAACAAACACUGGAACUGUGACAAACUGCCUCAGUUUAGAGCAGAAAACAGAUCCCAUUUGAAUGGGCAAACAGAAAAAACUCUUUAGAAAGUACUCGUGUAGAAAAUAUAAUCAAAUGCAUUUGUAUUUGCAUUAUUAAAUGGCACUGAUAUUAAUAUUUCCAUUAUUUCUGACUUUGAUUAGUAAAAAACAAGAACAUUUUAAAAGCUACAUUUGUACUUCUACUGCAUCAGCUGAAAAAAAGAACACCCUAUAUUAAGAUCACAUUACAAAUAACACAGGAGGUAUCUAAUAAAGAUUGAAAGCUUACUAAGUCUGAUUUUCAGUAUAACUGUUCUGCCAUACAGUACUUAUUUUUCUAAAAUUUAUCAAUGCCACACUAUGUUGUCUAUAUACAUACAAAUCUCAUGCUAAAUGCUUCUGAGAGCUCCCAGUUGCUAUUACUAAAUAUUUAAUAAUAUAUUUUACAUUAUUUUCCUCUACAUUAGCCAUGUUUGCUCUUGACAUUUCUUUAGAAUGAAUGGCUGGCAGAGGUACGGUGCUAGGUGAUUAUCUUAAAUUAUUAACUCAUCCCAGCAGGUCAUUAAUUCACAGAAAACGGCCAGCUGUUUUGACAACAUUACUGAAUUAAUUUUUAUGUCAGACACAGAAAAUGUACUUACAUCGUAUUGGUGAAGAUUUGCUAGAAAGAAUUAUUGGGCAAUGAAAUAUAUGGUCGGAUAUUCCACUAGAGGCAUAAGCUGUGUACCACAUUUAAUUACAUUAAUUAAGCAAUGAACGACAGACUUUAAAAUGUGGUUCCCCAACAACAAACAAGGAAGGAUCACAGUGUGCAGUGUAAGUAAAAAAAAACUGGGCUGUGGUUAAAUCUACACUGGCCCCAAACACAUCCCAGCUUCUGUUCUGCCUGUUGUGUUUGUCAAGCACAGGCAGUGGUAAAGAGGAGUUCUACCUUUCAUACUGUGAAGUCAAAUGAAAUUAGUCCAUUCAUUUUUUUUAAACAAAACCAUUCGAACUAUUUCUAUUACUUAAUACAGUUUUAUUCUUCAUGAUGCAAAUAUUAGAUUUCAUUACAUUGAAACUGAACAACACAGGCUCAAAACUACGGGAUUUGAUCUUGGACAAAAAUUAAGAAAAAAUUAGUUAAUUAAUGGAGGUAAUUGACUUGAAGGAGUCAACAUUUCUAUAUGAACAACCUAGUAUUUGUAUUGCCAAUUACGAGGAAAGGGGGGUGUAAAAGAAGAGUUAAUUGAACUGGAGAAUAGUACAGGCACAAGGAGAACUUGCAUCCACUAUGAACAGCUACGAAUAAACAAAAUCAGAAAUCUUCUGGCCAUCAAAAGAUGAAAAAAAUAUCCGUCUCGAAAUAACCUUCUACAAGGGUAGCAACAGCAAAGACAGCUUUACAUGUUUAUGAACAAGUCUAUAACGUAGCUGGCAACGAUGACAGAGGACUGGAUUUGACCCAAGGGAAGCUGUUUUGAUCUGUACUCUCUUGUUUUUUUUCCCUAAGGAAAUGCCAGCUGAAAUAAUUCUCAAAAAUUAGACAAAAAUACAAAAAAGUACACUACUAAAGACUUAGUUGAACACACACUCAGUAGAAGAAAAACUGCAAUGUAAAGAAUCAUCAAAGAGAUCUCCAGCCUGCUUGGGAUUUGCAAAAUUAGCACUAUAGAUUAAUCCAUGCACUAAAAGAGAAGCUCAGCACAGGAAACAGGGCUUAGGCAUUGUACCCUAUUCAACUAAUGUGAAUGUACUUGGUAUUAACCAAUCAACUUCACGCACAUUUUCUGUACGUGGUGAAAAGUAUCACCACUGUGGCACUAAGACCUGCAUCCAUGACAAAAAGAGAGCAGUUUCCUAAACUAAACUACAAUGCAGAAGGCAAAUCAGAGUGGAUGGCACAUGACAAAGCAUGAAGUGAUUACUUGCAACAUGCAUCAGACCACCAUAUAUCAUAAACAAGGUAACUGUAUCAAUAGUAACAGCACUCUCUUAGGCUUCCCUCCACAAUGAUUACGACAAGGCUAUUUCAAUAAGGAAAUACGGUCCCUUCGAAGUCACCAUUAGACAGAUGUACAGCUUAAAAUAAAAGUCACAGGUAUAACUGACAGAAAAUAGCCCUUCAUGAUCUCCUAAGAAACAACAGCCAGUGAUGUCGGCACUUGAGAGGAGCAGCCUAGACUGACUGGACACAUUACUGCAUUGCCUCAGCUCUUAAUUUUUUUUAUUAUACCAGUCUCCUCUGAUUUUACAAGAUUUAGUUAUAGCAAAUAUUAGCUGGUAAAUGCUGUUAGUAAGGACACAUGGAGUGAGAAAGUUAAAAAACAGUGUGAUCUAAUACAGCUCCUUUGGGAGUGACUUUUUUUUUUCCCCUUCCGUUUUCAUAUAAGCACACUGAAAUAUUGCAUUUACAGUAACGAAGUAUCACUCUGAACCAUGGUAGAUUCACAUCAUAAUGCUUCCAAACUAAAUGCCUAAACAAAACACAUCCUCUAUUCCCUUUCACUCAACAAAUCUUCUAAAACCCAUUCAUUUAGCAAGUCUCUGCUGGGAAUCCUAAAAGCAGCCUGCUCUGCAAAGUAACACUGCUGCAGUAAACACAGCAUUUUGAUGAAGGCUGGUAAACUGCCCUUUGGCCAUUCAUCCUAUGAGCUGCCAACCAAAUCCAUAGAAUCCACAGGAGAAAACAAACUGCAUACAUCCACAUAGUGAACUAAAUGUGUAUGGCAACAAGUAGACAGAGAAACAAAGAAAUAUUUGUUUCUAUCAUUGUGAGAACAAGAUACACCUAUUAAAGCACACUCUGUAUAAGCUCUGGUGCAUGCUGAUCACCGUGGCAUAUCCUAAGAAUGAAAAGAACUCCAAUGUGACCUAUAUUCUAUGUCUUCUUAGAGCCUGGGAAGUACCCUUGAAUCUAAUUUUAAAAGCUACCAUGUAAAACCAAUUAGGGUAGGAUCCAUUAAGCGAAUCACUUUUGAAGGCCUCUCUCAUAACAAGCUACAAACAUGAAAUGGCACUUGCAAAUUUAACAUUGACUAAAAGGAAAAAAGAAGUCUGAAGAAGAUGAAGAAAAUCUUUUUUUCCCCCCCUCCACUGAGGUGAAACUUGAAAUUUUAGUGUAUAUGUAUUUGUUUCUAGGUUGUAUUCUCACCAUAUGCAUUGUUUCUCCUGGGUUAUUAAAGCUCAACUAACAGAUUAGCUGCGAUUUCUUAACCACUUCAGUAUUUGAUCUUGCUCAAAGGUGGUCUGGAAAAUGCUAUUAUUGGAACACUGCUGUAAGUCAACACUAAUGUUUUAUUAAAUGAAUUGUAUCAAAGCAGUGAAACCAUGGGAACGCACUGUAAGAAAAAGUUGUGUUAAACAGAGUAUAUUUUAUUUUAAGAAAAAUAUAUGGCUUUGUGAAAUUUCUUCCCAUUCUCCCCAUGCCCCAAUUAAUCCUGUGGUACAAGUUUAGUUUUUACUGUAAAAUCAAGUGUGUGAAGCGUGCACAAUGAUUGUUGAAUCUCAAAUAGCUCUAUUAAUUAAUUGGCAAUUUGCUCAGCAUACUGCACUGUCUACUGAAGUGACACUGUUGAACAGCUAAAAAGGAAAUGCUUUUUACACUACAGAAGAAAAGAGCAACAUAAAACAAAAUAAAAAAUGACACCCCUCUGUGAGAAGUAGGGGGAAAAAAAGUCACUGGCUGUAGCAGGUCUGGAGAGAGCUUAAGAGACACUCAGUGCUUCUUAAAUAGAUUUUAAUACCAAAAAGCUGAUAUGUGGCAAUACAGCUCGUACACUGUGACAUCAUGACUCGGCCUCUCUCGACUUGCACGGUUCCUGGAGAAGCAUGUUACAGGGAUUAAAUCCCUUUGAAUGCUAAUGUCUUCCUCUUUUGAACCACAAAGAAUAUUAAUCCUCCUCCCCUCAGCUACCAACAGCUGCGCUGUUUUCCUUCUUGACAGAGUGGAACAAGAUAGCAUGGCAUGAUUGACCUGAAUGUAAAUAUUGCUAUUUGGUUUUUGUUAAACUGCUUAUUUUUUAUGGAAAUUUAACAAAUCUGGCACCAAGUUAUCAACUGCACAAAUAAAAACAAAGCAUCCAAGCACCCAGAAAUAUCUUUUAGCAGUUAAAUUAUUUCUAUAACUCUUCUGAUGUAUUAACUUAUUAAUAAAUUAACACACUACAAUCCUCUCAAACAUUUACAGAGGCUAAUACAGGAAGUGAGACUGGAAUGUUCCCAG